UCUCCGAAGGAUUUCUGGGUUGGAGGAAUGAGCAUUUUACCCGCUUAUAAACAAACAAGUCAGACCAGCCCCGUCACAGGACAUCCAGCCUUCCCAGAGGGCCAGGGGUCUGCAAGCAGGAGGGCAGAAGGCAAAGACCCUGCUCCCGCGGGCAUCCAGAGGCAGCAAGAAAGGGGGCGCCUGCAUAUGCUGCGCGUUGCAACCACCCAUGUAAGGGAGACUGCUCUGUUCUGCUUCCUGGAUACAAAACACGAGGUCCAGAGAGGGACAGAGACCUGCCUGCAGUCACAGAGGGGGAGGCAAAAACAAGGUGAGAACUCGGGGGGGUUCGACUUGACGCUUUCACUAAGCAUCUAGGUCAGGUGCUAGGAAGGCAAAGAAGAAUCAGACAGACCGAGCCCUGCAUUUGGGAGCUCGCCGUCUCAUGGCGGAGACAGGCAGGUAACCUACAGUGGGGGAGGAACAAGGAGGUUGCCCCGGCCGAGGGGUCGGAAGGCUUCCUGGAGAAGGCAGCCUUUGGCCCUGGGGAGAAGGGAAGCGUGGCCAGCCGGCAGGGUCUUGCACGAGCUCCCUUCACAUCCUCAGCCGGGCCUCUCUCCUGCGUCCCCAGAUCUGCUGCUGACCGUGCAGGAUGCUGGCUUCAGCAGCCACUUCUCCCAGGCCUAUUUUUAGACCCAAUUCACUUCUAAAUGCAAACACAUUGUCAAGACAGUGGCCAACUUGGAUCCCGUCCACCAGCAGCCCUCUCUGCGACACCAGAAUAGAAAAUGGCUCUAUUUGUGGACGACACGGCCCGUUGGCGGAGGCCUGGGCUUCGGCGGGAGGCCAGAUCGCGGCCCAGCCCCUGGAUGACCCGGACGCAUCGAUGCUUCCUACCCAAAUACAGUAUAAAAAUGCAUGUGGAAUCACGCUGCAGUUAAUCUCAUAAAAAGGCAACUUUUUCCUGGACUGACCACGGUGCCAGGCGAGUGGGAGCCGAGCUUGGAGGAGAGUGGAUGCUAUUUGCCGUAGGCAGGCUGCCCGAGGUCGUGUCUCAUUAUCUCUGCUUUCCUAGUCAGAAAGCCCUUGGACCGGGAACUGGGGGUUGCAGACCGGUCUCAGGAGCACGAAAAUCCUAACAGCCACAGCUACUCAUUGUGUGUUCACUGUGGGCUGGUGCCGCAUCCACUCUCAUGCCCCAGAGUGCUCUCUGAGGGCUUAGGACUAGGCCUUACGCAUCCUCAUUUUCCCAGGAAGGGAUGUUUGUUUGACUCAGGAAGAUGCUCCGUAAUGGGAGUUGAAUAACUGGAUGACACUCCAGGAAAAAAAAAAAGGGGAGAUUCCCUGGUGGCCUAGCAGCGAAAGACUCAGCAUUGUC
RNAcentral lists this long non-coding RNA (1357 nucleotides) under Sus scrofa (pig). Its description in RNAcentral is "lncRNA (ENSSSCG00065072687.1)". Lineage: Eukaryota; Metazoa; Chordata; Mammalia; Artiodactyla; Suidae. The record is from RNAcentral.